Long non-coding RNA from Sceloporus undulatus (fence lizard), 266 nucleotides. RefSeq lists it as uncharacterized. The record is from RefSeq and is a predicted model, not a curated record. The transcript has 3 exons. NCBI's taxonomy places the organism in Eukaryota, Metazoa, Chordata, Lepidosauria, Squamata, Phrynosomatidae.
CUGAGUUGCUGGAUCCUCUGUCUUAUCCUGAGUGAGGGGGAGCCCCUACUUCAUCAGCAAGGAUAUAAAAGAGGCUAAGAGGACUGCAUGAGUGUUGCUGCAAGUUCGGCUUGUCAUUAAGCGAUUAUCCAGUACUUCACAAUGUUUCACAUUAAUUGUCCAUCAGCCAAGUCCCACGACCGAGCACUUGGGGAUAAGAUUUUGAAAACACAGUGGAGCUUACUUUUGGGAUGAUUUUUAACACUUUUCCCUGAUGAAGAAUCCAA